This is a long non-coding RNA of Bacillus rossius redtenbacheri, 383 nucleotides long. RefSeq lists it as uncharacterized. The transcript has 3 exons. The record is from RefSeq and is a predicted model, not a curated record. NCBI's taxonomy places the organism in Eukaryota, Metazoa, Arthropoda, Insecta, Phasmatodea, Bacillidae.
GGGAGCGCCCUCCCGGAUCUGUCCGCACCUGCAACCGACGCCACGACCCGUCGUCCGGGUCUGACAGCCGCGAACCACGUCAUGUACGCGGGAGCUGACGUAACCAUCGCCAUUGAGGAGUCCUGCGACCGCUGUGGAAAACCAUACACCAACAAAAGCUGUGCUGUCUCUUCAGCACCAUCGGGAUAAAAAAUAAACAAGAUAUGGGUGACAAUUAAGAGAAGAGUGCCAGAGAGAGAUAGAGAGAGAGAAAGAAAAUAUACGUGUGGACAACUGCGUAGUGCAGCAGAAGUAAAAAAAAACUUCUAGGUACGGACCCAGGGAGUGAUCAUGGCCACUGGAUUGAUGUCAAGCGGAUGAACGUGUUUUGGGGUUACUUUGCC